UUCCAGCUCCAAUAGCGUAUAUUAAAGUUGUUGCGGUUAAAAAGCUCGUAGUCGAAUCUGUGUCCCGCGCCGCCGGUUCAUCGUCCGCGGUGUUAACUGGCGUGUCGCGGGACGUCCUGCCGGUGGGCUUAGCUCGCAAUGGCGGCCCAACUCAAUCCCGCCGCGGUGCUCUUAACUGAGUGUCGAGGUGGGCCGGCACGUUUACUUUGAACAAAUUAGAGUGCUUAAAGCAGGCUAAAACUUCGCCUGAAUACUGUGUGCAUGGAAUAAUGGAAUAGGACCUCGGUUCUAUUUUGUUGGUUUUCGGAACCCCGAGGUAAUGAUUAAUAGGAACGGAUGG
This 340-nucleotide ribosomal RNA is filed under the name Tetropium castaneum. RNAcentral's name for it is "SSU rRNA". It matches the Rfam family "Eukaryotic small subunit ribosomal RNA", at positions 583 to 885 of the family's 1831-position model. The record is from RNAcentral. Lineage: Eukaryota; Metazoa; Arthropoda; Insecta; Coleoptera; Cerambycidae.